AACGAACGCUGGCGGCAUGCCUAACACAUGCAAGUCGAACGAGACCUUCGGGCCUAGUGGCGCACGGGGGCGUAACGCGGGGGAACCUGCCCUUAGGUUCGGAAUAACUCCCGGAAAGGGGUGCUAAUACCGGAGAAUGUCUCCGGACCAAAGGGUUAUCGCCUUUGGGGGGGCCCGCGUCGGCUUGGCUGGUGGGUAGGGUAAAAGGCUACCAAGGCGACGUGCCAUAGCGGGGUAGAGAGGAUGAGCAGCCACACUGGGACUGGGACACGGCCCAGACUCCUGCGCGAGGGAGCAGUGGGGGAUCUUGGACAGUGGGCGAAGGCCUGAUGCAGCACUGCCGGGUGAGUGAUGAAGGCCUUAGGGUUGUACAGCUCUUUUACACGGGAUGAUAAUGACAGUACCGGGAGAAUAAGCACCGGCUAACUCCGUG
RNAcentral lists this ribosomal RNA (433 nucleotides) under uncultured bacterium. RNAcentral describes it as "partial 16S ribosomal RNA". It matches the Rfam family "Bacterial small subunit ribosomal RNA", at positions 28 to 507 of the family's 1533-position model. The record is from RNAcentral.